This is a non-coding RNA of Labrus bergylta (ballan wrasse), 463 nucleotides long. Lineage: Eukaryota; Metazoa; Chordata; Actinopteri; Labriformes; Labridae. The record is from RefSeq and is a predicted model, not a curated record.
AAACUCUGGAGGCACCACAAGCAGCUCAGCCGCCUCAGACACCAGAUCCAAGACCAGCAGAGGAUGAUGGACGAGCUCAUUCAUUUACAAUCAUAAACUACUUCAAUUAGAAGUGCCAGAUUUUAUCAAGCAGACAUCAACAUUAACUCUGGCCACAUUAUACAUUUUAUUUUCCUCCUUUUUGUUUGAACCAGGGCCUGUUACUGGAGCAGACUCAUGACAGACAGCUGGAGAAAGAUGCAACACUACAGAAGCUCAUACUGCUGAAUGAUCAGAGGAUCUGAAGGGCCUCCAGGACACGGUUCCCAGACCGAGACCUUCAAAAUGUGGACUCUGAUUGGCCUGUUUUUGUUAACGAUGCUGAGGUUACCAAAGCAACAGAUCACAAAAGUUCAAACGGACUCAGGAGAAGAUCGAGAAACAUCCAACGCAAGCAGACGAAAUCAUUUGAAUGAUCACCUGU